RNAcentral lists this ribosomal RNA (1371 nucleotides) under uncultured bacterium. RNAcentral describes it as "bacterial SSU rRNA". It matches the Rfam family "Bacterial small subunit ribosomal RNA", at positions 28 to 1381 of the family's 1533-position model. The record is from RNAcentral.
GAUGAACGCUGGCGGCGUGCCUAAUACAUGCAAGUCGAGCGAACGGACGAGAAGCUUGCUUCUCUGAUGUUAGCGGCGGACGGGUGAGUAACACGUGGAUAACCUACCUAUAAGACUGGGAUAACUUCGGGAAACCGGAGCUAAUACCGGAUAAUAUUUUGAACCGCAUGGUUCAAAAGUGAAAGACGGUCUUGCUGUCACUUAUAGAUGGAUCCGCGCUGCAUUAGCUAGUUGGUAAGGUAACGGCUUACCAAGGCAACGAUGCAUAGCCGACCUGAGAGGGUGAUCGGCCACACUGGAACUGAGACACGGUCCAGACUCCUACGGGAGGCAGCAGUAGGGAAUCUUCCGCAAUGGGCGAAAGCCUGACGGAGCAACGCCGCGUGAGUGAUGAAGGUCUUCGGAUCGUAAAACUCUGUUAUUAGGGAAGAACAUAUGUGUAAGUAACUGUGCACAUCUUGACGGUACCUAAUCAGAAAGCCACGGCUAACUACGUGCCAGCAGCCGCGGUAAUACGUAAGUGGCAAGCGUUAUCCGGAAUUAUUGGGCGUAAAGCGCGCGUAGGCGGUUUUUUAGUCUGAUGUGAAAGCCCACGGCUCAACCGUGGAGGGUCAUUGGAAACUGGAAAACUUGAGUGCAGAAGAGGAAAGUGGAAUUCCAUGUGUAGCGGUGAAAUGCGCAGAGAUAUGGAGGAACACCAGUGGCGAAGGCGACUUUCUGGUCUGUAACUGACGCUGAUGUGCGAAAGCGUGGGGAUCAAACAGGAUUAGAUACCCUGGUAGUCCACGCCGUAAACGAUGAGUGCUAAGUGUUAGGGGGUUUCCGCCCCUUAGUGCUGCAGCUAACGCAUUAAGCACUCCGCCUGGGGAGUACGACCGCAAGGUUGAAACUCAAAGGAAUUGACGGGGACCCGCACAAGCGGUGGAGCAUGUGGUUUAAUUCGAAGCAACGCGAAGAACCUUACCAAAUCUUGACAUCCUUUGACAACUCUAGAGAUAGAGCUUUCCCCUUCGGGGGACAAAGUGACAGGUGGUGCAUGGUUGUCGUCAGCUCGUGUCGUGAGAUGUUGGGUUAAGUCCCGCAACGAGCGCAACCCUUAAGCUUAGUUGCCAUCAUUAAGUUGGGCACUCUAAGUUGACUGCCGGUGACAAACCGGAGGAAGGUGGGGAUGACGUCAAAUCAUCAUGCCCCUUAUGAUUUGGGCUACACACGUGCUACAAUGGACAAUACAAAGGGCAGCGAAACCGCGAGGUCAAGCAAAUCCCAUAAAGUUGUUCUCAGUUCGGAUUGUAGUCUGCAACUCGACUACAUGAAGCUGGAAUCGCUAGUAAUCGUAGAUCAGCACGCUACGGUGAAUACGUUCCCGGGUCU